Molecule: non-coding RNA, 21 nt
Filed under: Caenorhabditis elegans
Lineage: Eukaryota; Metazoa; Nematoda; Chromadorea; Rhabditida; Rhabditidae
Source: RNAcentral
UUAACCAUAAGUUCCGUAUCA